RNAcentral lists this transfer RNA (70 nucleotides) under Chascanopsetta lugubris (pelican flounder). RNAcentral describes it as "tRNA-Gly". It matches the Rfam family "tRNA". Rfam says of the family: Transfer RNA (tRNA) molecules are approximately 80 nucleotides in length. Their secondary structure includes four short double-helical elements and three loops (D, anti-codon, and T loops). Lineage: Eukaryota; Metazoa; Chordata; Actinopteri; Pleuronectiformes; Bothidae. The record is from RNAcentral.
GUCUUUUUAGUACAACUUAGUAUAGGUGGCUUCCAACCACCUGGUUUUGGUUAGAGCCCAAAAAAAGAUA